This is a long non-coding RNA of Pan troglodytes (chimpanzee), 420 nucleotides long. RefSeq lists it as uncharacterized. The transcript has 2 exons. The record is from RefSeq and is a predicted model, not a curated record. NCBI's taxonomy places the organism in Eukaryota, Metazoa, Chordata, Mammalia, Primates, Hominidae.
GUUCUUAGGUGCUGAUUUUAGCUUCCAUCAAUGCUGCGUGGCGAUCACUGUCAUCCUCAUACACUGCAGAUGGUGAUGCCACCCCAUCAAGACCGGGAUUACGUGAUCCUCGGCCACUGCCGUGACCUACGUGCUGGGUACACAGGAGGCUCAGUAAAUAGUUGCCAAUUAAAUAACUGUAUGCACUACAAGGAAAGAGAUAGUCUGCAAUUCCAAACAGUGCUGCAGACUUCUCCAAGCCCGGAGUCAGUGUAAGUUUGGAAUGCAAUCAGUCUAGUUUAGAAAUUCAUUAUCCAAAGUGAGGAGCCCAGCGAAUAUUAUAGUUUCAUAAAUAUGCAGAUUUUGUUUAUUUAAACAUUUUUUUAUUACACUUUGUGUUUUCCUAAAUUGGGUCAUCAUUUUAAUAUAAUUGGAAUCCGA